This is a non-coding RNA of Delphinapterus leucas (beluga whale), 761 nucleotides long. Lineage: Eukaryota; Metazoa; Chordata; Mammalia; Artiodactyla; Monodontidae. The record is from RefSeq and is a predicted model, not a curated record.
CACCUUCUCCCCAAAGAGAGGGGAGUAAGGGAAUUUUAGGGUUAGGAGGGAGAGGGUCAUCAGGGCUCUAGGAAAGGGGCGGAGAUUUCCAGGGGCAGCCAGGUCAUGCGCAGUCGGCCAUGUUCCUUUGCACGUGGAACAAAUUGUGCCUAGCAGAGCACAAAUCCCCGCUUUGGGUGGAGAUGUUAGCAAGGUAAUGAAGCGAAGGUAAUGCUGGGACAGCCCCCUGGUUUCAUCUGCGCAGGCGUGUUCCCGUGGUCGUCAGAGCUGGUUUGGGAUGGUUGACCACUGUGUAUCUCUCAAAGUACAGCCCGCGAAGCAUGUCUGCCAAACACCAGGUACUUUUGAAACAAACACAGAGAUAAAUCUGGGACCUUAUCUUCAGCUGGACCGGACCCCCCCUCCCAGGAACUGGGUAGGCAGAGAGUCUAGAGCCUGAAUCCUUCACCUGUACAUCACUAGCUUUAUCUGCAUGCUUAUUAACCAUACCUGAAUUCAGAAAGGCUCACAAAUACAAGAAAUAAAUAGGAACACAGCAAGAUGGAAGAAUGGGAGGUUUUCUGAGGUAAGUGACAAGAGAGGUGGAAGGAAGAAGGACAUAUUAGAGGCUAUGCCCACAUAAAGGGUUGUCUAAGGUGGAAGUAACUAAAUCAGUAUGAGAAAGAUAAAGAAAAGGGGAAUAGGGGAUGGAGGGGCUAGGUUCUAGGCAAAGUCCAUUAACCCUGACAAAGAAGAAAGGAGGUGUAGGGAAGAGUCAGCAG